RNAcentral lists this ribosomal RNA (529 nucleotides) under uncultured Acidobacteriota bacterium. Its description in RNAcentral is "bacterial SSU rRNA". It matches the Rfam family "Bacterial small subunit ribosomal RNA", at positions 13 to 523 of the family's 1533-position model. The record is from RNAcentral. Lineage: Bacteria; Pseudomonadati; Acidobacteriota.
UUGAUCCUGGCUCAGAAUCAACGCUGGCGGCGUGCCUAACACAUGCAAGUCGAACGCGAAAGUGGAGCAAUCCAUGAGUAGAGUGGCGAACGGGUGAGUUACACGUGGGUGACCUACCUUCGAAUGGGGGAUAACGUCCCGAAAGGGACUCUAAUACCGCAUAACAUCCUGUCCUUGAACGGAUGGUGAUCAAAGCCGGUGAUCGCAAGACCUGGCGUUUGAAGAGGGGCCCGCGUCCGAUUAGCUAGUUGGUGAGGUAAUGGCUCACCAAGGCGACGAUCGGUAACCGGCCUGAGAGGUCGGACGGUCACACUGGGACUGAGACACGGCCCAGACUCCUACGGGAGGCUGCAGUGGGGAAUUGUUCACAAUGGGCGCAAGCCUGAUGACGCAACGCCGUGUGGAGGAUGAAGGUCUUCGGAUUGUAAACUCCUGUUGCUCGGGACGAAUAGCUUUGACCUAACACGUCAAAGUCUGACGGUACCGAGUGAGGAAGCCCUGGCUAACUCUGUGCCAGCAGCCGCGGUAU